Molecule: long non-coding RNA, 234 nt
Filed under: Medicago truncatula (barrel medic)
Lineage: Eukaryota; Viridiplantae; Streptophyta; Magnoliopsida; Fabales; Fabaceae
Description: long non-coding RNA (MTRU_LNC007162)
Source: RNAcentral
ACAUAACAUGUUGUGUCUACUGCUUCUGCCCAUAAAUGUUUAGCCAAAUUGUUUUAAUGAAUCAUGGUUCUAGCCAUUUCUUGUAAUGUUCUAUUCUUUCUCUCUACAACCCCAUUUUCUUGUGGAGAUAUAGGAGAAGAGAAUUCAUGGACAAUUUUAUGUUUUUCACAAAAAAUUUCAAAUGGCUCAUUUUCAAAUUGUUCACCAUGAUCACUUCUGACCUUUAAAAUUUUC